UAAUGGCGUUUGGAGGCGAAUUUGUGACGAAUUGAAAGGGGAUUGUAGGCGAAAGAAAAUUUGGCAAAGCGCCGAACAUCACAAUCAAAUACAAACCAACUUUCAAGCACGAAAUCCGUACUAUGAUACCAUUUUAAAAUUUAAUGUAUAGGGCUAAGGAAUGACAAGGCACCCUACAGAAUACCUGCAGGUUUUUCAGAGCCAUCGUAUAUAAAGCUCUCCCCUAUUUGCAUCCAGCCCUUACAUGAUAUAGAAGAAAGUAAUAAGAAGAUGGUUAAGAAGAUAGAAGAACUAAACCUAGAUUAUAUAAUCAGAUAUGGCUUUUCUACAUUUUUUCGGAUGCGCUUCCCAAACCAUAGAUACAUACAUAGAUGGAGAUGAACUUCUUGCCAUUAAUAGGCCCAGCAAACAAUGGUUUUGACCAAAUUAUUUUCACCGUCUUUCUAUCCUAAUUUCUUACUCCAUUUUAGAUGAUAUAUUCCAAUGUUAUUACAACAACAUAAAACACUUAUUUUUGUAUUUUAUGAUCAUUUUUUAAGAUCUUAAAAUACAAAAACCCGAUUACCGGAUUUUAUUAAUUAUAAUAUUCAUUCAUCUACUAGCUUCAAUCUGUUGAAUACCAACGGCCAUAUGGUUCUUUCAAUGUGCAUUUAUAAGCUUAGGCACCCCAUGCUAAGCCUUUUUCAUUACCAACACUAAAAUAUAAUUACAAAAUAUGAAACCAUGAAUCAAAAAUCACUCUUUUCAAAAAAUACUUGUUGUACACAAGGACAUAAAGAAUCGAAAGAUAAUAAUAAGCAAACGAAAGAAAUGUAAUUGUGUUUAGAGGCGAAUUUGUGACGAAUUGAAAGGGGAUUGUAGACGAAAGGAAAUUUGGCAAAACGUCGAACAUCACAAUCAAAUACAAACCAACUUUCAAGCACAAAAUUCGUAGUAUGAUACCAUUUUAAAAUUUAAUGUAUAGGGCUAAGGAAUGACAAGGCACCCUACAGAGUAUCUGCAUGUUCUUCAGAGCCAUCGUAUAUAAAGCUCUCCCCUAUUUGCAUCCAGCCCUUACAUGAUAUAGAAGAAAGUAAUAAGAAGAUGGUCAAGGAGAUAGAAGAAUUAAACCUAGAUUAUAUAAUCGGAUAUGGCUUUUCUACGUUUAUUCUGUUUCGCUUCCCAAACUCCAGAUACAUACAUAGAUGGAGAUGGAGUUCUUACCAUUUAUAUGCCCGGCUAACAAUGGUUUUGACCAAAUUAUUUCCACCGUCUUUCUAUCCUAAUUUAUUACUUCAUUUUAGAUGAUAUAUUCCCUUGUUAUUGCAACAACAAAAAACACUUAUUUUUGUAUUUUAAGAUCAUUUUUUAAGAUCUUAAAAUACAAAAACCCGAUUACCGAAUUUUAUUGAUUAUAAUAUACAUUCAUCAAUUAGCUUCAAUACGCUGAAUACCAACGGCCAUAUGGUUCUUUCAAUUUGAAUUUGUAAGCAUAGGCACCCCAUGCUAAGCCUUUUUCAUUACCAACACUAAAGUAUAAUUACAAAAUAUGAAAUCAUGAAUUAAAAAUCACUCUUUUCAAAAAAUACUUGUUGUAAACAAGGACAAAAAGAAUCGAAAGAUAAUAAUAAGCAAACGAAAGAAAUGUAAUGGCGUUUGGAGGCUAAUUUGUGACGAAUUGAAAGGGGAUUGUAGGUGAAAAGAAAUUUGGCAAAGCUUCGAACAUUACAAUCAAAUACAAACCAACUUUCAAGCACGAAAUCCGUACUAUGAUACCAUUUUAAAAUUUAAUGUAUAGGGCUAAGGAAUGACAAGGCACCCUACAGAAUACCUGCAGGUUUUUCAGAGCCAUCGUAUAUAAAGUUCUCCCCUAUUUGCAUCCAGCCCUUACAAGAUAUAGAAGAAAGUAAUAAGAAGACGGUUAAGAAGAUAGAAGAACUAAACCUAGAUUUUAUAAUCGGAUAUGGCUUUUCUACAUUUUUUCGGCUGCGCUUCCCAAACCCUAGAUACAUACAUAGAUGGAGAUGAACUUCUUGCCAUUUAUAGGCCCAGCAAACAAUGGUUUUGACCAAAUUAUUUUCACCGCCUUUCUAUCCUAAUUUCUUACUCCAUUUUAGAUGAUAUAUUCCCCUUUUAUUGCAACAACAAAAAAACACUUAUUUUUGUAUUUUAAGAUCAUUUUUUAAGAUCUUAAAUUACAAAAACCCGAUUAUCGAAUUUUACUGAUUAUAAUAUCCAUUCAUCAACUAGUUUCAAUCUGUUGAAUACUAACGGCCAUAUGGUUCUUUCAAUGUGCAUUUGUAAGCAUAGGCAUGCUAAACUUUUUUCAUUACCAACACUAAAGUAUAAUUACAAAAUAUGAAACCAUGAAUCAAAAAUCACACUUUUCAAAAAAUACUUGUUGUAAACAAGAACAUAAACAAUCGAAAGAUAAUAAUAAGCAAACGAAAGAAGUGUAAUGGCAUUUGGAGGCGAAUUUGUGAUGAAUUGAAAGGGGAUUGUAGGCGAAAGGAAAUUUGGCAAAGCGCCGAACAUUACAAUCAAAUACAAACCAACUUUCAAGCAUAAAAUUCGUACUAUGAUGAUACCAUUUUAAAAUUUAAUGUAUAGGACUAAAUAAUGACAAGGCACCCUACAGAGUACCUGCAGGUUUUUCAGAGACAUCGUAUAUAAAGC
RNAcentral lists this long non-coding RNA (2655 nucleotides) under Panax ginseng (ginseng). Its description in RNAcentral is "long non-coding RNA (PGIN_LNC010328)". Lineage: Eukaryota; Viridiplantae; Streptophyta; Magnoliopsida; Apiales; Araliaceae. The record is from RNAcentral.